GUUGAACGCUGGCGGCGUGCCUAACACAUGCAAGUCGAGCGAACGGAGGAGGCUCUCUCCUGGAUGCUGCUACGGGCGGGCGGGUAAGUCCUACGUAGCUACCCUGCAUUUAGGAAUGAGAUAACUUAAGGGGCCCGAAUACCACACCCGAUCUUAUUUAGAAAGGCAUGGAUCAUCGGACCACGACCUAUUAGCUGACACUUAUUCAGAUUUCCUCGCUGCAUUAGCUAGUUGGUAAGGUAACGGCUUACCAAGGCAACGAUGCGUAGCCGAUCUGAGAGGGUGAUCGGCCACACUGGAACUGAGACACGGUCCAGACUCCUACGGGAGGCAGCAGUGGGGAAUAUUCCGCAAUGGGCGAAAGCCUGACGGAGCAACGCCGCGUGAGUGAUGAAGGUCUUCGGAUCGUAAAGCUCUGUUAUUAGGGAAGAACAUAAGUAUAUGAAACUCUGCACAUCUUGACGGUACCAAAUGAAAAAGCCACGGCUAACUACGUG
This 497-nucleotide ribosomal RNA is filed under the name uncultured bacterium. RNAcentral's name for it is "partial 16S ribosomal RNA". It matches the Rfam family "Bacterial small subunit ribosomal RNA", at positions 28 to 507 of the family's 1533-position model. The record is from RNAcentral.